Molecule: ribosomal RNA, 336 nt
Filed under: Pyramidula jaenensis
Lineage: Eukaryota; Metazoa; Mollusca; Gastropoda; Stylommatophora; Pyramidulidae
Description: partial 16S ribosomal RNA
Source: RNAcentral
UUGACUGUGCUAAGGUAGCAUAAUAAAUUGGCUUUUAAUUGAAGUCGGGAAUGAAAGGGUGUUUGGAGUUAUUCUGUCUUAUCUUUAUUUUUUAAAAAUUACUAAUGAGGUGAAAAUUCCUCAACAUUAUUUGAUAGACGAGAAGACCCUAAGAAUUAUUACAACUAUUAAAAAAUUAAUAAAAGUUUUUGUUGGGGCAACAGCUUUGAAAAUAAAUAACCAAAGCUAAAUUUAUUUUAAACAUAAAAAUUAUAUUAAAAAUGAAUUUAAUUACCUUAGGGAUAACAGCAUAAUUAUAAUAUAUUAGAUUGUGACCUCGAUGUUGGAUUAAGGCCU